GCUUACAUUCUGAACGUCUAAAGGUUUCCUGUUGCAAAUAUCAGGAAGAUGUUCUUAAUGUAGGCUUC
Molecule: microRNA precursor, 68 nt
Filed under: Eisenia fetida (common brandling worm)
Lineage: Eukaryota; Metazoa; Annelida; Clitellata; Crassiclitellata; Lumbricidae
Description: Efe-Mir-2686-o3_pre stem-loop
Source: RNAcentral